This 472-nucleotide ribosomal RNA is filed under the name uncultured delta proteobacterium. RNAcentral describes it as "bacterial SSU rRNA". It matches the Rfam family "Bacterial small subunit ribosomal RNA", at positions 400 to 863 of the family's 1533-position model. The record is from RNAcentral. Lineage: Bacteria; Deltaproteobacteria.
CGUGAGCGAAGAAGGCCUUCGGGUCGUAAAGCUCUGUCAAGUGGGAAAAAAGCCUUUCGGUUAAUAUCCGGGAGGUGUGAUGGUACCACUGGAGGAAGCACCGGCUAACUCCGUGCCAGCAGCCGCGGUAAUACGGAGGGUGCAAGCGUUGUUCGGAAUUACUGGGCGUAAAGGGCGUGCAGGCGGUUUGGUAAGUCAGAUGUGAAAGCCCUGGGCUUAACCCGGGAAGUGCAUUUGAAACUGCCUUUCUUGAGUAUGGGAGAGGAGAGUGGAAUUCCCAGUGUAGAGGUGAAAUUCGUAGAUAUUGGGAGGAACACCCGUGGCGAAGGCGACUCUCUGGACCAAUACUGACGCUGAGACGCGAAAGCGUGGGGAGCAAACAGGAUUAGAUACCCUGGUAGUCCACGCUGUAAACGAUGAGAACUAGGUGUAGCGGGUAUUGACCCCUGCUGUGCCGAAGUUAACGCAUUAA